Long non-coding RNA from Nicrophorus vespilloides, 1181 nucleotides. RefSeq lists it as uncharacterized. The record is from RefSeq and is a predicted model, not a curated record. The transcript has 3 exons. Lineage: Eukaryota; Metazoa; Arthropoda; Insecta; Coleoptera; Silphidae.
CGUUCGCAAACGCAAAUGCGAGAUUGAAUUAAUACAGUUUUGAGUGCGAAACCUAAUAGUAUCGGAUUAGUAGAAGAAAUUGUUAAUUAAGGACUGAACAUGAAGUGUUUCUCUUCUCAGUACGCUGUUAUUUGAGAUAAAUCUCCCGGAUAUCCGCUCGAGAUGACAGGCAAACGCUGUAUCAUUUUAUAACAAGCGACAAGCCGCACGCCUGCGAUCUCUGCAACAAGAAGUUCGCACUCGCCUGCAAUCUUAGAGCUCACAUGAAAACACACGAAGGAGAUCCGCAGGAGGAGUGCAGCCGUUGCGGAAAGAUGUUCAUCCUGUGCGGUGGCGGAUCAGAGGGUUGCUGCCCCCAAUGCAGAGACUCCGAUUCCAGCGGAAACCACACGGAGGAUAGCAACGGAUCUCCACCAGAAUAAUCAUCUUAUUUGAAGAUGAUCUUCAAAGGUGAUCAUCUUUGAGCUAAAGAUCAUCUUUGUUCACGUUAUGUUUAGGUGAUAUCGAAAAUCUUGCCGUCCAUUGCGAUCACACAAUUUUGUUGCUAAAUGUAUAAGUUUAAGUACAACUCGUAGCUAUUAUUAUUAUUAUGAUUACAUUACAAUUAAUUGAUAUUUAUGUAAGCCACAUAUAUUCAUCAUAUUAGUUAUGAUUACGUUUGUGAUUAGAUGAAUCAAAUGGGCCCUCAAGGAUAAACCGAUUAGAAUGCAUUUUCCGCUCGCCGCGAAGGAAGAGGAGACGCGACGAAGGCGGGAGGGAGGAAUACAUGGUUGGUGUCUAAUGGUGCAUUAAAGAAUCCCGGUGACGUGGCUUAAUCCGAUUUGCAUUCGAAAAAAUUUCAUUAAUAAUUUGUACGGAAAAUUACGUUAAGCCACGAAUUAAGGACUAUGUUUUUUUUGUUAUUUAAGAAAGAGAAAGACGAGAGAUGAAGAGGAAGAAAAAAACAAACUGUAUCGAAGAGAAAAAGAAAACUAAUCCGAUGUCGGGCCCUCUUCAAGAGAAGAAAAGGGUAACAAAUUCGAUAUCUUCCAAAAACCAACAACGCAUGACACAUUAAAGCCGACAGGUGUCAAAUGUCGCAUGAUGGAUAUAAGGCGCACCACCACACCACACCGGUUUCUUUAAUUUUGCUUCAUCUAAUCAAAACACAAUUUAUUCUUUUUUUAUAUAUUUGUCUUUCC